Molecule: ribosomal RNA, 440 nt
Filed under: uncultured bacterium
Lineage: Bacteria
Description: partial 16S ribosomal RNA
Rfam family: Bacterial small subunit ribosomal RNA
Source: RNAcentral
CCUACGGGUGGCAGCAGUAAGGAAUAUUGGUCAAUGGGCGAAAGCCUGAACCAGCAACGUCGCGUGAAGGAUGAAGGCCCUAGGGGUCGUAAACCUCUUUUGUAGAGGAGUAAAUGCCGGUACGUGUCCCAUCAUGAAGGGCUAACGCCGUGACAGCAGCGGCGGUCACACGGCGGGUGCCGGCGUUACUCGGAAUUACUGGGCGUUAAGGGAGGGUAGGUGGGUUAUAAAGUUAGUUGAGAAAUCUUUUGGCUUAACCAUAGAACUGCAGUUGAAACUGGUAGUCUUGAGUAGGGGAGAGGUAGGCGGAAUGCGUGGUGUAGCGGUGAAAUGCGUAGAGAUCACGAAGAACCCUGAUUGCGAAGGCAGCCUGCUAGAGCCUUACUGACGCUGAUGCGCGAAAGUGUGGGGAUCAAACAGGAUUAGAUACCCGAGUAGUC